Homo sapiens (human) is the source of this 3791-nucleotide long non-coding RNA. Lineage: Eukaryota; Metazoa; Chordata; Mammalia; Primates; Hominidae. The record is from Ensembl.
ACUGAGAUGAGAAAGGCUUGGAGAGAAGCAGUUUGGUAAGGAAAACAAAGAAUUAUACUUUCCACAUGCUACAUUUGAGAACGGAUAUUAGGUAUCUAAGUGGAGAUUUCAAGGAAGCUGUUGAAUAUACCAAUUGGAGCUCAGAAGGGAGUAGAUUCCGAGAGUCUUUUCAGCAGAUCUAUGGCACUUAUAACUACUGGACUAAUAAGGUCACCUGGAAAAGCUGUGAUCCUUCAGUUGGAGAGAGUCGGCUGUUUCUGGGCUUAUUUUUCAUCUGUCCAUUGGCAUUUCUGGGUUGUCAGCCUCUCCAGCUCAAGAUCUGGCAUCUAUGAGGAAGAAACAACAGCAGAGAACUCAUCACCCUGUUGUUCCUCUGCACCCAGUGUCACUGGCCAGUCUGCCUUCUUCUACCUUUCAGAGUCUUCUUUGUUAUUACUGUUGUUGUUCUAAAUUAGGAUAUAAUUUAUAUACCACAGAACUCACCACUUAGAAGUGUACAAUUCAGUGGUUUUUAGUGUAUUCACAAGGUGCAACCAUUACCAUUAUCUAAUCCCAGAACACUUCUGUUCUGUUCUGUUCUAUUCUACUCUUUUUUCUUACCCCCAGAAGAAAACUUGUAUCUUAUCCAUCACUUCCUAUUGCCUCACACCCCACCGCCAGCCUUAUUCUGGACAUUUCAUGUGAAUAGAAGCAUAAAAUUUGUUGCCUUUUGUGUCUGACUUUUUUUACUUAGCAUAAUGUUUUAAAAGUUCAUCCAUGUUGUAGCAUGAAUCAGUAUUUCAUUUUCAUGGCUAAAUAAUAUUCCACUGUAGGUAUAUACCACAUUUUAUUUAUCCACUCAUCAGUUGAUGGGCGUUCAGUUGUUUAACUUUUUCACUAGUGUGAAUAAUGCUACUACGUGCAUUCACAUCCAAGUUUUUCUAUGAACAUAUGUUUUCAAUUAUUUUGGGUAUAAACCUAGGAAAGGAAUUGCUGGGUCAUAUGGUAGCUUUAUUUUUAAAUUUUUGAGGAACCGUCAAACUAUUUUACAAGGUCACUGUACUAUUCAACACUCUUAAUAGCAAUGCAUGAGGGUUCCAAUUACUUCAUAUCCUUGUCAACACUUGCUAUUGCCUAUCUUUUCAAUUUUAGCCAUCCUAGCGGGUGCGGAGUUAAACCUCAUUGUGUUUUUUAGUUGCAUUCUCCUAAUGACUAAGAAUGUUGAGCAUCUUUUCAUGUGGCCAUUUGUAUAUCUUCUUUGGAGAAAUGUCUAUUCAAACCCUUUCCUCAUUUUUAAAUUGGAUUAUUUGUCUUUUUAUUGUUAAGUUGUAAGUGUUGUUUAUAUAUUUUGGAUAUGAGAUCCUUAUCAGUUAUAUGAACUUAAACUACUUUCUUCUAUUCUGUGAGUUGCCUUUUCAUUUUCUUGAUAGUUCCCCUUGACUUUCUGCACCUUGUUAUAUUUGCUUUGUAUAUCAUGACCAGGAUUUAUAGUUAUACUUAGUGGGGAUAAUAGAGAAGGUUAUACCAAAUCUAUUUUCCCAGAAGUAGAAGUCUAGACUGUAGAGGACAUUUCAAUAAUAUUUUUAAAAUAUCAGUCAGUGAAAACUAAAAAAAAACAAAAAACCAAGAGAUACAAACUGGUCCAAUUUUUUCUCAUAAUCAUCCAAUGUAGAAUAAAUACACAGGCAACACUGACACCAUAUUCUUCAACCUCCUGGCAAGUCCUGAGCCUCACUCAGAGCUGAUGCUGUUCACGUAGUUGGUUGGAUGUGGAUAACAGAGGAGUUUUCACUGGAGCGUACAGUUGAGCCCCUAUGAGACCAACAGGCUGAUGGCUUCAGUGGCACUAGUUUAAAAAAAGAAAAAAGCCACAUUCUACAACCUGUGCUACUUUCUUUGGAAUAUAAAUUGUGGGCCUCUGUGAUACACAAUCACAACUCUCUGACCUCAUUUUGUAAAGGGAGGAGUAGGCUUCUUCAAUCCACCCUUUCUAUUUUAUAAAGAAAAAACUAAAAGAAAACAGACAGGAUUUCUAAUUCCGUGUUCUUUCUAUGAGAGAAAAAAAUAUAAAAUGCUGGGUUUGAUGGCCUCAGGCUCCAUGCAAGUGAUUACCUCUAAGUCUAUUCCAUAACUCUAGAUGAUAAAGAUGCAACAUUAUGUAGCAUUUGCCAGUAAUAAUACUAUUAAUAAACCAAAAUAGGUAGCUUCUGUAUAAAAUUAGAAGGCUAGCCCUUCCGCCCUUUCACAUUUGGGAUCUCCAAACCAGUUUAGUUACUGUUUUUCUUUUUCAUGAAACAGAAUACCCUGUCAUUUAGAUUAAAAGUAUGACAUAAUUGUAAUAAGUGUUAAACAUUAAAACCGUAACUCAAACUACAUAACACAACAUUUUUGGGACUCAAGAGCAACUGGAAAGAAAAACAUGCAGAGUGGUUAAUACACUACCCUUGCACCGGUUUUAGACCAGUGCUAAGCAGGCUCUGCUCUUGUCUUCCACCAUCUGACCGCUUCAGGCUGGGGAUAAAAAGAAAACCAAGCUGAAGGAGCAGGACUACCUAAGGUCCAGAUCCAGGUCACUCACUGUGUACUUAGGACGCAGGAAUUUCCUGCUCAAUUGGCUCCAAUCACAUUUUCAGAACCGGUACAGGUCUCUUCUCCCAGGUUGGUUCUCCUGAGGAUAGACUCUGUCUACCUAGGACUGUGGCUAAUAGGGGGCUGCCUUGGGACAUUGUGGAUGACAUUUAGAUGAGUGGAAUGGGUGUCUCUAGGUCUGCAUGCUUGUAAAUUUCUUUGUGGUGCAAGUCUGAGCCUCAGUAGGGAAAGGGUAGGGAACAGCCCUUUCAUUAUGGCCACGUUCAAGUGUGGAAUAUAAGGAAUAAAGAAACUCUAUUUGAAGUUGGCCUUUCCAAAAAUUAGAAAGAUAUAUUUGUCAAUGCAGAAGCAUAAAACAUAUUUAACAGUUGGUUAACUUGACCUGUAACAUUUCAAAUAUUUAGGAGGGUCUGCUAUUGUAGUUUGGUUCCACCUUAAAAAUGUUAAGGGUACAUCUAAGCAUUAUCAGUCUUUGACAACUCUAGUUCAAAAAGUGAAUAAGAAAACUGAGCAUUUGAAAUAAUUAAUAAUGCAUCCUUUAAAACUUUUAGGCUUGCAAGCACUGUAUGUACCUUCUUUAGUACAAUCUUUAUCACAUGGUUUAUACAUCUCCCUUUUUAUUGAUAUAUGCUGGUUGUCUUUCAAUAUCUUAAAAAAUAGAAGACCAUGAGAAGUUACCUUUCAGUUUCUUCAUAACAUGAGAAACUUCUACCUGUCUAAUCCCUCUCCCAUCAGAGAGAGACUGGCUACAUUCCCUGUCCUAUGGGACCCAAGCAGCUCUCAGCUGACACUAUGAUGGAUGGAGCAGCAGAGGCCCAUACGUCAACUCUCAGGAAAGAAAAACCAGUAAAUCAGAGGAGCAUAUCCAGAGAGAGUCAGAGGAAAGGCUGCAUCAGGAAGUAGAUUGCAAAGCCACAUCUAGGGAGGUCAGGAAAGAGGCAGGGACAGCAGACAGCUCAGCAGACAGGAAAGGACAGUGAGAAUGCAUUUGUCAGGGCAAAAGACAUAGCUGUGGCCAAGACUGGGAUUUGGGGUUUCCUAUGCGUGUAUGAUCUGAAUCUAUUUUUAAGGGUCCAGGAAGGAGUGAGCAUAGCCUCUCAUUCCUACAAUUUUGUGUGAAUGCUGUAAAGUUGGUAUACUGCCUAAUUUAUCUCUUUCUUUUUAAUUCUGGAAUAUUUAAGUGACUUAAACAUUUAAUAAAUAACUAACAUCUGUUGUUUUAU